GUUACCGAAUCUGGACAAAAAAACGGAGCUUCUCCAGCCACAUGCCUACCAUGCAGAGGCUCUUCAUGACCCAGUUUACACAGGGCCUGAAAGGGUUACGGUCUCCAGCCUCCAUAGCAGACAAGGUCUUCUGUUCUCUGCCCUACUCGGUGGGCAGAGUCCUAUCCAUUUGGAGCCAGCAUGGUCCUUCUGUCUGCUCCUUCGAAAUCUCUUCUCUUCAUUCCCCUCACUGCAAGCGGCAACCAAGUCUGGGCACCACAAGCAGCCACACCAUGUUACCAUAUGUGCCUCUUCCAGGCAUGGAAGCUACAUAUAACACCAGCGGCAGUCAGACGAGGUAAGCACAUGAGACUCAGCGUGUGUGUGCGCGUGUGCGUGUGUGUGUGCAAGAGAGAGAGUGCAUACAUAGGUGGUGUGGAUCGUCUGUGGCAUGACUUUGACCUCUUGUCCUUGUAAACCUGAUCUAUGUCUCUCAGAUAAACAUUUCUGAGAUUGAAAUCUGUUCUAUUACAAGCAGCAACUAGGAAUGUGUAAUAAUACAAUUUGUU
Molecule: long non-coding RNA, 548 nt
Filed under: Homo sapiens (human)
Lineage: Eukaryota; Metazoa; Chordata; Mammalia; Primates; Hominidae
Description: non-protein coding lnc-PISD-1:1
Source: RNAcentral